Molecule: ribosomal RNA, 500 nt
Filed under: uncultured Actinomycetes bacterium
Lineage: Bacteria; Bacillati; Actinomycetota; Actinomycetes
Description: bacterial SSU rRNA
Rfam family: Bacterial small subunit ribosomal RNA
Source: RNAcentral
GUGCUCGAGCGGCGAACGGGUGAGUAACACGUGAGUAACCUGCCCCCGGCUUCGGGAUAGCCCCGGGAAACCGGGAUUAAUACCGGAUAUGACCAGGGAGGGCAUCCUUUCUGGUGGAAAGGUUCCCUUCUCGUGAGGGAGGGGUUCUGGCUGGGGAUGGGCUCGCGGCCUAUCAGCUUGUUGGUGGGGUGAUGGCCUACCAAGGCGACGACGGGUAGCCGGCCUGAGAGGGCGACCGGCCACACUGGGACUGAGACACGGCCCAGACUCCUACGGGAGGCAGCAGUGGGGAAUAUUGCACAAUGGGCGAAAGCCUGAUGCAGCGACGCCGCGUGAGGGAUGAAGGCCUUCGGGUUGUAAACCUCUUUCAGCUCUGACGAAGCUGCCUGGUUUUCUGGGUGGUGACGGUAGGGGUUGAAGAAGCGCCGGCCAACUACGUGCCAGCAGCCGCGGUAAGACGUAGGGCGCGAGCGUUGUCCGGAUUUAUUGGGCGUAAAGAG